UAGGGAAUCUUCCGCAAUGGACGAAAGUCUGACGGAGCAACGCCGCGUGAGUGAAGAAGGAUUUCGGUUCGUAAAACUCUGUUGUUAGGGAAGAAAAAAUGUAUAGUAACUAUAUACAAAAGAGACGGUACCUAACCAGAAAGCCACGUCUAACUACGUGCCAGCAGCCGCGGUAAUACGUAGGUGGCAAGCGUUGUCCGGAAUUAUUGGGCGUAAAGCGCGCGCAGGUGGUUUAGAAAGUCUGAUGUGAAAGCCCACGGCUCAACCGUGGAGGGUCAUUGGAAACUAAUAAACUUGAGUGCAGGAGAGAAAAGUGGAAUUCCUAGUGUAGCGGUGAAAUGCGUAGAGAUUAGGAGGAACACCGGUGGCGAAAGCGGCUUUUUGGCCUGCAACUGACACUGAGGCGCGAAAGCGUGGGGAGCAAACAGG
RNAcentral lists this ribosomal RNA (429 nucleotides) under Verrucomicrobiota bacterium. Its description in RNAcentral is "Verrucomicrobia bacterium partial 16S ribosomal RNA". It matches the Rfam family "Bacterial small subunit ribosomal RNA", at positions 355 to 776 of the family's 1533-position model. Lineage: Bacteria; Pseudomonadati; Verrucomicrobiota. The record is from RNAcentral.